This 381-nucleotide small RNA is filed under the name Histoplasma capsulatum var. duboisii H88. RNAcentral's name for it is "Histoplasma capsulatum H88 hypothetical RNA". The record is from RNAcentral. Lineage: Eukaryota; Fungi; Ascomycota; Eurotiomycetes; Onygenales; Ajellomycetaceae.
GACUUCAUAAACGAGAGUUCAACGGUCGGACAACAGAAUUGCCUGUGCAGGUGGCUUCUCAAAUCAGUUGCAUUCUUAGCACAGAUUAAACCAAUCUUUGGCUUGUCUUCUAUCUGAGUUAUUCUUCAGCUCAGGAGAUUCAACGCUUCUAUGCCUGUCAUCUCAUUAUUUACAUGAUCAGUUCAUGACAACGAAGUUCAGACCGAAUAUUUUAUGGAUUGGGCACAAUCGAAUACAAUAGCUAUUUUUGAUGUUUGCUAUGACAUCAAACUGAUACUAGUACAGUUUAUAAAAUUUGACAUUGAAACGAGCUUGACAAUUUUUUAUCAACAGCAAAAGAAGUAAAUAUAAUCGAACACAAAAUGAAAACGAUAAAAUGGC